Molecule: ribosomal RNA, 301 nt
Filed under: uncultured bacterium
Lineage: Bacteria
Description: partial 16S ribosomal RNA
Rfam family: Bacterial small subunit ribosomal RNA
Source: RNAcentral
CAGCCGCCGCGGGAAUACGUAUGUCACAAGCGUUAUCCGGAUUUAUUGGGCGUAAAGCGCGUCUAGGUGGUUAUGUAAGUCUGAUGUGAAAAUGCAGGGCUCAACUCUGUAUUGCGUUGGAAACUGUGUAACUAGAGUACUGGAGGGGUAAGCGGAACUACAAGUGUAGAGGUGAAAUUCGUAGAUAUUUGUAGGAAUGCCGAUGGGGAAGCCAGCUUACUGGACAGAUACUGACGCUAAAGCGCGAAAGCGUGGGUAGCAAACAGGAUUAGAUACCCGAGUAGUCCCUGUCUCUUAUACA